AACAUCACAGUCACUGCCGUGGCCAGAAACCCCCGCUGGCUCAGUGUCACCUGGCAAGACCCCCACUCCUGGAACUCAUCUUUCUACAGACUACGGUUUGAGCUCAGAUAUCGGGCUGAACGGUCAAAGACAUUCACAACAUGGAUGAAUCCAGGAGUCCUCCAGCUGAGAACGAGGUGUCCACCCCCAUGCAGGCACUUACUACUAAUAAAGACGAUGAUAAUAUUCUCGUCAGAGAUUCUGCAAAUGCGACAAGCCUCCCAGUGCAAGAUUCUUCUUCGGUACCACUGCCCACAUUCCUGGUUGCUGGAGGGAGCCUGGCCUUCGGAACGCUCCUCUGCGUUGCCAUUGUUCUGAGGUUCAAGAAGACGUGGAAGCUGCGGGCUCUGAAGGAAGGCAAGACAAGCAUACACCCGCCGUACUCUUUGGGGCAGCUGGUCCCGGAGAGGCCUCGACCCACCCCAGUGCUUGUUCCUCUCAUCUCCCCACCGGUGUCCCCCAGCAGCCUGGGGUCUGACAAUACCUCGAGCCACAACCGA
RNAcentral lists this small RNA (539 nucleotides) under Pongo abelii (Sumatran orangutan). RNAcentral describes it as "processed transcript". The record is from RNAcentral. Lineage: Eukaryota; Metazoa; Chordata; Mammalia; Primates; Hominidae.